CCUACGGGAGGCAGCAGUGGGGAAUAUUGCACAAUGGGGGAAACCCUGCUGCGGCUGCGCGUCGUGAGUGAUGAAGUAUUUCGGUAUGUAAAGCUCUGUCAGCAGGGAAUAGCAAAGAAGGUACCUGAAAAAGAAGCCCCGGCUAACUACGUGCCAGCAGCCGCGGUAAUCCGUAGGGGGCAAGCGUUAACCGGAUUUACUGGGUGUAAAGGGAGCGUAGACGGAAAGGCAAGUCAGAAGUGAAAACCCAAGUCUUAACCAUGGGACUGCUUUUGAAACUGGCAAACUAGAGUACGGGAGAGGUAAGAGGAAUUCCUAGUGUAGCGGUGAAAUGCGUAGAUAUUAGGAGGAACACCAGUGGCGAAGGCGUCUUACUGGAACGAAACUGACGUUGAGGAUCGAAAGCGUGGGGAGCAAACAGGAUUAGAUACCCCUGUAGUC
RNAcentral lists this ribosomal RNA (441 nucleotides) under uncultured bacterium. Its description in RNAcentral is "partial 16S ribosomal RNA". It matches the Rfam family "Bacterial small subunit ribosomal RNA", at positions 338 to 795 of the family's 1533-position model. The record is from RNAcentral.